Molecule: long non-coding RNA, 3431 nt
Organism: Oenanthe melanoleuca
Lineage: Eukaryota; Metazoa; Chordata; Aves; Passeriformes; Muscicapidae
Exons: 3
Source: RefSeq, a predicted model, not a curated record
UAUCAUUCCCAGGAGUGCUGGGGAUUGCAGUCUGGAUCAUGCCAUGCUUCAGCAAAACCUCCCCUGAACUGGGAGGGGGACAGGUCUGUGGUCACAGGUGUAAACCCUGAUCAUCAGGCUUCAGGGCAUUGAUGAUGGGGAAGCAGCCACACAUCAGACCCUGCUACUGCAGCUCCUUUCUGUGCAAGCAGUCUCACAGCACUGUAUAAGCAACUGGAUAUUAACUGCAACAGAAACAUGAAUGUUAUCUUUCCACAGUUUGCAUGACUAACAAGGGCUAUAAAGUCCUCUGGAUCCCUCUCUCCCCUACAGUCUCUUACUAUUCAUUGCCUUCUGUUUAUCCCAACUCCCUGCUUCCUCAGCCUUUGCUUCUAGGCUUCCUCCCUUUGGUAUUAAAAUCUUUCUUAUGAAAUAAAACCUUUUCUUUUCCCCUUUAAAGCUAUAUAUUUUUGUCAAACAGCCAUUUUUUUCUCAGACAAAUAAGUUUUUCUCUCUACUGCUUACUGGGAUGUUUGCACACGUUAGCUGAUGAAACAUAUGUUACUACGUAGUGGAUCAGACUUCUAUAGAUAAAAGAGACACAUAAAGAAAAAAAAACCUAAAAUAUUGAUUUAGAAAUUAAAAAUUAUAAAUAAAAUUUAUAAAUAAAACUUAUGUUUAGAACCAGGCUUAAAAGACCUCAGAUUUCAUCCAAACCUUUUUACUAAAAAGCAUACUUACUGAAAUCUGACUCCAUCAUUUUUUUUCAGUUGCUAUAUUUGUACAUGUGGAAACAGAAUUACUUCAGAAUAACUGCAAGAAAUGCUCCAUUAUUUUCAAAUCUUACUUUUGACAUGCAUGGCUACAUUCUGUGUAUUGUCUUUCAUACUUAAUUUGAAGGUGGUAAGACAGUGCAUUUGCAGGUGCAAACCUGCCUAGGAAGCCAUUCAAGUUAAGGAAGGCACACAGAAUUGUAACACAUUGGUAUGUUUACCCUUCUUGCCUGCAGAAAUGUGGGCUUAACUGAUGUAACCAAAUAUACAGUUACCUACAUCUUGAAAAUCUGAAACAAAUGGUCAGGAUACCAGUUUUUAAGGGCCUUUUAUUUAACUUCCCAUCCUAAGAAAUUUAGUACUAUUAUAGCUCUUUCUGGUUUCUUGCAAGUAUCUGAUAACUCUGUUCUAACAGUAUCCUGUAGAAAGCUUAUGUGAUAAAAUGUGCAGGUGCAGGCUGAGGUAUUUUUUGGGAAAAAAAAAGAAAAUUAAAAUAACAGGAUUAGCUGGGUGCCUUCCUCUCAGGUCUUGAAACCAAUAAUUUACUACCAAAAACAAACAGAAAAGAAUGUCCUAUUUCAAAUUUUUUUUUUAAUAACUUAAGGGAACAAUAGCCACCUCCUUUCAAAUUCAAAGCAAAAAUGCUAAUGGCUAAACAAUAGUGAAUCAUCAGAACUAAAGCCAGAAAAGUAUGUUUAUCUUAAUUUAUCUCAAUGGAAUAUACACAUUAAUUGCUUGGGCAAACUCCAAGCCAUUGUACUGGUAACUGAGACCAAGGUGAAGAAAGCUGUAAUACUGAGCUUAAACUAAGCCAAGUUUUAGGAAGCUGGAUUUCCAGAGUAGCUGGUGCCCAGGAGCUGUCCUGAAAUAAACUGCCUCUACUCCUUUUUAUUGUGCUUCCAGCUGCAAUGAGGUACAGUGGAAGGACCUCAUGAUAGAAACACACAGAGAACAUCCUCCAAAUAAAUAAACACAUUUGAUGGCUUUUCUUGUCCAUCAAAACAAAAAAGUUAUGUUGCACUGGUAUUAAGUCUUCCCAAAAAAUAUUACUAUUAGAAAUUAAAAAUAUGAAAAAAGCACAAAAAUGUCAUAAUCUGUGAUUUCUGAUAUGUAUACAUCAAAGUGUCUUUUAGAGCAGCAUUUUUCUUCUCUGCCAAGAGUUGUAAGGCAGUGCAGCUUAUCAGAUAGAACAUUAGAGCUGCUGCAGAUCUCUUAAAUCUUCUUUCCACCUUUACUACACCUCAGUAUGGAAACCUGUAAGUUCCUGGUACUUUUGCCACUGACUCAGACUGCCUAUCCAUAGAGUGAGGCUAAUGAUAGCUUGCAAAAUAAGCAUUUUAUUUUGAGUAUUUCUAUUUUGAUAUGCAAAGGAUGUGUAUUUAUGUAUCAGCAGCGAUGGAACUGUUAUUUUACACUGUUUGUCCUUAUUAGUUUUUAAGGGAAAAAUGAUACCAUAGAGCAGCAUCAAACAUUUUCAUUUGCUUUUUCUCAAUAGGUUGAAGCUGUGAAUAAAUAGAAUUAAUUUUAGGACUUCAGCUGACUGUAGAAAACACAAGAAAUACAAUUUUUUUACAAUUGAAGUUGCUGAAGCGAAUAGGAACUGAAGGCAUAAUAAAGACAUUUCUGGACUGAGAAUUGUUUUUCCACCUGCCCGGAUAUAUAUUUGUGUUCCUUGGCUUGAGAAAUAUUGCAGUGUGUUGCUUCACAGAACCAUGCCCUAAUUUCUCUCUUCCCUUUUUCCCUGGAGGCACUGAAGAAGUACCCUGGGGGGACUAGAUGAGUUUCAGAAACUUGAGACAGGUCUUGGUUCCAGUUCCACGAAAAACAAAAAGGAUUGUUGAACUACUUUGUAAGGAAACUGACUGCAAUUGGGACUGGAAGGAUGAGGUGCAAGUGCUGAAGUUUUUGCUAGAAUGCAUUACAAUCUGCUUGAAGAAAAGCACGUGUCCACUCACAAAGAAUUCAGUGGACUAUGAUCUACUUGGAAGAGACAUUUCCCUCACCAAGAUGUCUCCUCAAAGCUGGGACUUCCCAAUCAGCUGAUGAGCUAGGACCUUCAGAUGAAAUUCUUUUAUAGCCAUAAUCAAAAAUCACUGGAAUUUAUCACCAUGCAGAUUCAGCAACUCCACUGUGACUCAGGGAAUUAAAACCAAAUAUCAUAAUUUAAGAACUUGUUAUUUUGAUUAAGAACCAGCUGCAUGUGCAUCAAGAAUAAUGCAUUGGGAGGAACAGGAUGUUGCAUAAAAGGCAUUAGCUGUUUCCAACUAAGCUACACUCUGGAGAGAUGAAUUUUUGGGGUCACUAAGUAUGCAAGGAAAACUUGUGGAUUCAGAGCCAGAAUUUUUUGAGAACUGAAGAACAUUUUUACAUCACAAGCUGUAUUUGUUUCUCUUAGCAGAGAAACAGUUCAGGCCUGCUGACAUAUAAGGGACUGUGAAUUAGGACAUGCCUGAUUUAAAGUGCCAGUGAUGCCAAACAGAACUGUUUUAAAUCAAAUAGAACUCUUCAUUACCAAUUAGCUCUUGCCAAAGAUGUGUAUGGGUUUGUGUCUCUCAUAGCAGAAAGGAAAACAUUAACUUUCAGAAGAAAUGGGAAUGCUACAGUUGUCCCUUCCAACCCCAACAAUUUUGUGUGUGGUUAUAAAGUUUUUGUGUGUGAAAUAAAUUUUUUAUAAUUUUC